Arachis ipaensis is the source of this 1397-nucleotide long non-coding RNA. RefSeq lists it as uncharacterized. NCBI's taxonomy places the organism in Eukaryota, Viridiplantae, Streptophyta, Magnoliopsida, Fabales, Fabaceae. The record is from RefSeq and is a predicted model, not a curated record.
GAGAAGUCAUAUAAGCAGUAUAAAUAGUAUGAGCUAGUGUGAGACUCGGAGAUUACGAUAGAUUGAUAAAUUUGUGAUUGAAAGGGUUUCUAAUACAAUUCUGUUUUUCUCUAGUUUUUGGGUGUCAAACUAUUCUCUCCUUACUGCAUAAUUGUGCAGGCUAUGAAAGACGAACAUGUUGCAUUAUUGGCAAACAAAACUUGGCAUUUUGUCUAUCCACCACAGAAUGCAAAUGGAUGUUUGCAAUCAAGCGUGGCCCUGAUAACUCCAUUAAAAAAUACAAGGCCAAACUUAUUGCAAAAGAUUGCCACCAAGUUGAGGGUAUUGAUUAUACACAGAUUUUUAGACCCACUACCAUUAGCGAUUUCUAAAGGGCGAUGCUUCCGCCAAUUCGAUUUUAAUAAGUAUAUAUGACUCCUCCCCUGGCUUAUAUUCAGGUGCAAAUGGUAUGGUAUGUAAAUUAGACAAGGCCAUUUAUGGCUUCAAACAAUCCCCGAGAGCUUGGUUUUUAAAACUUCAAUCUACUCUACAUACUCUUGGUUUCUCUACUCUUUUUGUUAGAACAACUUCUGCCUCUACUAUUUACUUAUUAGCCCAUGUUAAUGAUAUAGUCAUUACAGGUAGUAACAACAGUGAAAUAGAAAGUAUUAUUGCUAAACUACACUCUAUUUUCUCUCUUCAUGUUUCUCCAGCAAAAUAUGUGCAUGGCCUUUUAAAAAAGGCUUGGAUGGAUUUGUCCAAUUCUGCCUUCUUUCAAACUUACUGCUCAAGAAAGUGACAGUUUUGACAGUUCUGAGAUAGCAUAUGCGGCAAACCGGAUGCAAACUGGGCUGCUCAUUUAGAUGAUAGAAGGUCUACUAAUGGUUAUUGCAAAUUCCUAGGACCUAAUCCAAUAUUCUGGAGCAGCAGAAAGCAACAGGCAUUAAGCAGAUCUUUAACAAAAGCUGAAUACGGGUGCUUGGUAAAAGAAGUGGCUGAGUUUAUAUGGAUUCAAAAAUUGCUUGGAGACCUCAACAUUACAAGUCCAACAGCUCCGAUUGCUGUCUGAAAAUCCUGUCUUACAUAGUCACAAUAAACAUUUUGAAAUGUUAGAGAUAGAAUCACAAAAAGAUUAGUUAAAAUAGUUCAUAUUCCUUCUCACUCUCAAGUUGCAGAUAUUCUCACCAACCCCUUUUCUGUCACAGUGUUUAAUAAUUUAACUUACAAACUAAGGAUUUCACAUGCUGCAACCCUUAGUUUGAGGGGGGUGUAGAGAAUGAUGACUUUGGAGAAGUCACCUAAACACUAUAAAUAGUAUGAGCUAGUGUGAAACUCAGAGAUUACAAUAGAUUGAUAAGUUUGUAAUUGAAAGAGUCUCUAAUACAAUUCUGUUUUUCUCUGGUUUUUGGCUUUGGGUG